AUUGAACGCUAGCGGGAUGCUUUACACAUGCAAGUCGAACGGCAGCGCGGACUUCGGUCUGGCGGCGAGUGGCGAACGGGUGAGUAAUGUAUCGGAACGUGCCCAGUAGCGGGGGAUAACUACGCGAAAGCGUAGCUAAUACCGCAUACGCCCUACGGGGGAAAGCAGGGGAUCGUAAGACCUUGCACUAUUGGAGCGGCCGAUAUCGGAUUAGCUAGUUGGUGAGGUAACGGCUCACCAAGGCGACGAUCCGUAGCUGGUUUGAGAGGACGACCAGCCACACUGGGACUGAGACACGGCCCAGACUCCUACGGGAGGCAGCAGUUGGGAAUUUUGGACAAUGGGGGCAACCCUGAUCCAGCCAUCCCGCGUGUGCGAUGAAGGCCUUCGGGUUGUAAAGCACUUUUGGCAGGAAAGAAACGUCGCGGGCUAAUACCCCGUGGAACUGACGGUACCUGCAGAAUAAGCACCGGCUAACUACGUG
This 484-nucleotide ribosomal RNA is filed under the name uncultured bacterium. RNAcentral's name for it is "partial 16S ribosomal RNA". It matches the Rfam family "Bacterial small subunit ribosomal RNA", at positions 30 to 507 of the family's 1533-position model. The record is from RNAcentral.